Molecule: long non-coding RNA, 2688 nt
Organism: Olea europaea var. sylvestris
Lineage: Eukaryota; Viridiplantae; Streptophyta; Magnoliopsida; Lamiales; Oleaceae
Exons: 7
Source: RefSeq, a predicted model, not a curated record
CCGUAAGAUUGGAAUGGGAAUAGUUUGCUAUAAGUCAAAGAAACCAAAAUUCAUGUAGUAUUGGAAUGGGCUAAUUCCCAGGCGAAAAAUUCUACAAUUUUAACAUUGACACAGACUCGGAGAUUCCUAGGUCUGCUCUACUUCAACUCCCUUUUCGUCUCUUUUUCUUUCGGUCAAGAACAAGAUAACUCUCUGGUAUUUCUUGGACGCCCUCUCCUGACUUUAUGCAUAUAAUGAAAUGUAUUUAACAAAGGGUUCCUUCUAAACUAACAAUUAUAUUAUUCAAGAUUUUUUUUCCUGUGUGUAUGUUUAUCUUGUAUGGGUUCGUACUAAUUUUUUAUGGUUUUAGUCACAUCAUUAUUGUUGUAAAGAAUAAUUAUUGCAAGUAGUGGUGGGUUGUAGUUUAGUCUGUUAUUUACCUAUUUUUUUUUUUUUUUAAUCCAAGUAUUCAAUCUUACACUAGACUAAAUCCUGGAUCCCUAAGACCCUUGCCCCUAGAAUCUUGGAGGGGGUAAAUCGCGGGUUAUGCCUCAACUGGAUUACAGGUUCCCCCACCGUCUGUACACUUCUGCGCACAAGAGAUCCUCCUCCAAAGUGAUUGCUCCAUACCAAAUAAAUCUAGCCGCAGGUUUCCACCAGGAUUAAAACCUUCACCCUGCCGCUGGAAGCAAGACAAUAUUGAUUGAUCCACCAGUUGAGCUGUGCCCCGGGAGGCAGUCUGUUAAUUACUUGUUAUAAUGAGUGGGGGCCUACGUAUUCUUGACCCAAGGCUCGAACUAAUAGCAUAGGAGUGAAUUUCCAGACAUUUUCUGGACGAUAAAGGGCUCGAAUGCGACUCUUGUACCGCUGCGGCAAUGGGAGAAUUGGUUGCAUCAGCCUACAUCACAACAUAGUGUGUUUUAAACAAAAUAAACGAAAGAUUAAUGAAGAUUUUGUUUUGGAUGGUUUUUAUAAUAUGUGCUAUCAUUGAUUCAACACCUGUGAACCAAUAAAGGAUUUUACAUCGCUGUGUUUUAAAGAAAAUGCAAGAAAGAUAAAGAUUUCGUUUUGGAUGGAUUUACUUGUGAACCAAGAAAGGUUUUGAUGGUUGAAUCUCUUUAGAAUUACAUGGUCAAUUCUGGUAAGGAUCUUAAAUUCAUAGUUUUAUUUGUGUUCAGAGAAGGCAUGAGUUGGGACGACGACAAUGAGUUCCAUCUGCUGUUGUUUCCAUGUUCAUGAUGGGGAUGAUAAUGCUGGAUCGAAUACAAGGAACCAAGAUUGUUCGUGUCCCAAAUGCUGCAUUCAAUACUUAAUGAAUAAGUACAGGAAUCUAUUUGUCAGAGGAGGAUCACAUGCAAUCACCUUAUCUAAUCGACAAGCAGCUCCUUCAGGUUCUGAAGCAGCGCUUGACAUUUCAUAUGACAACAGUCAAUCUCAUAACAGAGCAAUGCCAAACAGUGGCAACUCCCGAAAUUUGCAAGUGCAACAGGAUGUAGUAAUGAGAUUAGAGGAGAAGGUUACUAGCCAAUCCCAAGUUGUGCCGAAACCAAUUAGACCAACUGAUUUUCACGGAAAUAUAAAAAUGUUACUAGAACACAAGAUAGAUGAAUCUUAUAGUGAAACAGCAUCCACUAAUUGCCAAUCCGAGUCCUCUCUGAAAGUCUUGUCAUCAAGAGUGGAAAGUGGAAUUGGCUAUGAGUUCUCUUCACCACACAAUGAGGAUGUAUGUCCCACAUGUCUUGAAGAUUAUGCUCUUUGAUGAAUCAAUUUAAAGUGCCACUGUCCAAGGACUGGAUAUAUGCUAGAGGAUAUGAAAUGUAAAUUUGCUGAUGCUGGAUGCAAGAGAAGACGUGAGUUGGGACGACGACAAUGAGUUCCAUCUGCUGUUGUUUCCAUGUUCAUGAUGGGGAUGGUAGUGCUGGAUCGAAUACAAGGAACCAAGAUUUUUCGUGUCCCAAAUGCUGCAUUCAAUACUUAAUGAAUAAGCUCCUUCAGGUUCUGAAGCAGCACUUGACAUUUCAUACGACAACAGUCAAUCUCAUGACAGAGCAUUGCCAAACAGUGGCAACUUCCGAAAUUUGCAAGUGCAACAGGAUGUAGUAAUGAGAUUAGAGGAGAAGGUUACUAGCCAAUCCCAAGUUGUGCCGGAACCAAUUAGACCAACUGAUUUUCACGGAAAAAUAAAAAUAUUACUAGAACACAAGAUAGAUGAAUCUUAUGGUGAAACAGCGUCCACUAAUUACCAAUCCGAGUCCUCUCUGAAAGUCUUGUCAUCAAGAGUGGAAAGUGGAAUUGGCUAUGAGUUCUCUUCACCAGACAAUGAGGAUGUAUGUCCCAAAUGUCUUGAAGAAUAUACUCCAGAAAAAUCCUAAAAUUAUAGCAAAAUAUUCUUAUCAUUAUCAUCUCAGUUGUAUAUAAGAGUGGAUGGAAAGAAGUGUAAGCUGUCCUGUUUGUGGAAAGAUUAUGCUCUUUGAUGAAUCAGUUUAAAGUGCCACUGUCCAAGGACUGGAUAUAUUCUAGAGGAUAUGAAAUGUAAAUUUGCUGAUGCUGGAUGCAAGGUGGGUUCGCAAUUGUUUUUGUUCUUAUAUAUGGAUUAUCAAAGGAUACAUAGCAUUUUGAGGUUGAAUUCUGUAUUUUGUGUUUUCCUUUGCCGAUCCACCCAAAAUUCUGUUAAUUAUCUGCCCAUGAUGGAUGUUUUGAAAAGUUAGC